RNAcentral lists this unclassified non-coding RNA (348 nucleotides) under soil metagenome. RNAcentral describes it as "partial contains 5.8S ribosomal RNA, internal transcribed spacer 2, and large subunit ribosomal RNA". The stretch from base 1 to 120 matches the Rfam family "5.8S ribosomal RNA", at positions 35 to 154 of the family's 154-position model. The record is from RNAcentral.
GAUGAAGAACGUAGCAAAAUGCGAUAAGUAAUGUGAAUUGCAGAAUUCAGUGAAUCAUCGAAUCUUUGGACGCACAUUGCGCCCGCUGGUAUUCCGGCGGGCAUGCCUGUUCGAGCGUCAUUUCAACCCUCAAGCCCCCGGGUUUGGUGUUGGGGAUCGGCUCUGCCCUUCUGGGCGGUGCCGCCCCCGAAAUACAUUGGCGGUCUCGCUGCAGCCUCCAUUGCGUAGUAGCUAACACCUCGCAACUGGAACGCGGCGCGGCCAUGCCGUAAAACCCCAACUUCUGAAUGUUGACCUCGGAUCAGGUAGGAAUACCCGCUGAACUUAAGCAUAUCAAUAAGCGGAGGA